GGGUUGUGAGGUUAAGCGACCAAGCGUACACGGUGGAUGCCCUGGCAGUCAGAGGCGAUGAAGGACGUGCUAAUCUGCGAUAAGCGCCGGUAAGGUGAUAUGAACCGUUAUAACCGGCGAUUUCCGAAUGGGGAAACCCAGUGUGACUCGUCACACUAUCAUUAACUGAAUCCAUAGGUUAAUGAGGCGAACCGGGGGAACUGAAACAUCUAAGUACCCCGAGGAAAAGAAAUCAACCGAGAUUCCCCCAGUAGCGGCGAGCGAACGGGGAGGAGCCCAGAGCCUGAAUCAGCAUGUGUGUUAGUGGAAGCGUCUGGAAAGGCGCGCGAUACAGGGUGACAGCCCCGUACACAAAAGCGCAUAUGCUGUGAGCUCGAUGAGUAGGGCGGGACACGUGGUAUCCUGUCUGAAUAUGGGGGGACCAUCCUCCAAGGCUAAAUACUCCUGACUGACCGAUAGUGAACCAGUACCGUGAGGGAAAGGCGAAAAGAACCCCGGCGAGGGGAGUGAAACAGAACCUGAAACCGUGUACGUACAAGCAGUGGGAGCACAGGUUUACCUGUGUGACUGCGUACCUUUUGUAUAAUGGGUCAGCGACUUAUAUUCUGUAGCAAGGUUAACCGCAUAGGGGAGCCGAAGGGAAACCGAGUCUUAAUUGGGCGUUAAGUUGCAGGGUAUAGACCCGAAACCCGGUGAUCUAGCCAUGGGCAGGUUGAAGGUUGGGUAACACUAACUGGAGGACCGAACCGACUAAUGUUGAAAAAUUAGCGGAUGACCUGUGGCUGGGGGUGAAAGGCCAAUCAAACCGGGAGAUAGCUGGUUCUCCCCGAAAGCUAUUUAGGUAGCGCCUCGUGAAUUCAUCUUCGGGGGUAGAGCACUGUUUCGGCUAGGGGGUCAUCCCGGCUUACCAACCCGAUGCAAACUGCGAAUACCGAAGAAUGUUAUCACGGGAGACACACGGCGGGUGCUAACGUCCGUCGUGAAGAGGGAAACAACCCAGACCGCCAGCUAAGGUCCCAAAGUCAUGGUUAAGUGGGAAACGAUGUGGGAAGGCCCAGACAGCCAGGAUGUUGGCUUAGAAGCAGCCAUCAUUUAAAGAAAGCGUAAUAGCUCACUGGUCGAGUCGGCCUGCGCGGAAGAUGUAACGGGGCUAAACCAUGCACCGAAGCUGCGGCAGCGACACUGUGUGUUGUUGGGUAGGGGAGCGUUCUGUAAGCCGUUGAAGGUGUGUCGUGAGGCAUGCUGGAGGUAUCAGAAGUGCGAAUGCUGACAUAAGUAACGAUAAAGCGGGUGAAAAGCCCGCUCGCCGGAAGACCAAGGGUUCCUGUCCAACGUUAAUCGGGGCAGGGUGAGUCGACCCCUAAGGCGAGGCCGAAAGGCGUAGUCGAUGGGAAACGGGUUAAUAUUCCCGUACUUGGUGUUACUGCGAAGGGGGGACGGAGAAGGCUAUGUUGGCCGGGCGACGGUUGUCCCGGUUUAAGCGUGCAGGUGUGUGUUCCAGGUAAAUCCGGUUCACUUUAACACUGAGGCGUGACGACGAGGCACCACGGUGCUGAAGCAACAAAUGCCCUGCUUCCAGGAAAAGCCUCUAAGCAUCAGGUAACAUCAAAUCGUACCCCAAACCGACACAGGUGGUCAGGUAGAGAAUACCAAGGCGCUUGAGAGAACUCGGGUGAAGGAACUAGGCAAAAUGGUGCCGUAACUUCGGGAGAAGGCACGCUGACAUGUAGGUGAAGUGGUUUACCCAUGGAGCUGAAGUCAGUCGAAGAUACCAGCUGGCUGCAACUGUUUAUUAAAAACACAGCACUGUGCAAACACGAAAGUGGACGUAUACGGUGUGACGCCUGCCCGGUGCCGGAAGGUUAAUUGAUGGGGUCAGCGCAAGCGAAGCUCCUGAUCGAAGCCCCGGUAAACGGCGGCCGUAACUAUAACGGUCCUAAGGUAGCGAAAUUCCUUGUCGGGUAAGUUCCGACCUGCACGAAUGGCGUAAUGAUGGCCAGGCUGUCUCCACCCGAGACUCAGUGAAAUUGAACUCGCUGUGAAGAUGCAGUGUACCCGCGGCAAGACGGAAAGACCCCGUGAACCUUUACUAUAGCUUGACACUGAACAUUGAGCCUUGAUGUGUAGGAUAGGUGGGAGGCUUUGAAGCGUGGACGCCAGUCUGCGUGGAGCCGACCUUGAAAUACCACCCUUUAAUGUUUGAUGUUCUAACGUGGACCCGUAAUCCGGGUUGCGGACAGUGUCUGGUGGGUAGUUUGACUGGGGCGGUCUCCUCCUAAAGAGUAACGGAGGAGCACGAAGGUUGGCUAAUCCUGGUCGGACAUCAGGAGGUUAGUGCAAUGGCAUAAGCCAGCUUGACUGCGAGCGUGACGGCGCGAGCAGGUGCGAAAGCAGGUCAUAGUGAUCCGGUGGUUCUGAAUGGAAGGGCCAUCGCUCAACGGAUAAAAGGUACUCCGGGGAUAACAGGCUGAUACCGCCCAAGAGUUCAUAUCGACGGCGGUGUUUGGCACCUCGAUGUCGGCUCAUCACAUCCUGGGGCUGAAGUAGGUCCCAAGGGUAUGGCUGUUCGCCAUUUAAAGUGGUACGCGAGCUGGGUUUAGAACGUCGUGAGACAGUUCGGUCCCUAUCUGCCGUGGGCGCUGGAGAACUGAGGGGGGCUGCUCCUAGUACGAGAGGACCGGAGUGGACGCAUCACUGGUGUUCGGGUUGUCAUGCCAAUGGCACUGCCCGGUAGCUAAAUGCGGAAGAGAUAAGUGCUGAAAGCAUCUAAGCACGAAACUUGCCCCGAGAUGAGUUCUCCCUGAGACUUUAAGUCUCCUGAAGGAACGUUGAAGACGACGACGUUGAUAGGCCGGGUGUGUAAGCGCAGCGAUGCGUUGAGCUAACCGGUACUAAUGAACCGUGAGGCUUAACCUUACAACGCCGAAGCUGUU
Molecule: ribosomal RNA, 2933 nt
Filed under: Salmonella enterica subsp. salamae serovar 57:z29:z42
Lineage: Bacteria; Pseudomonadati; Pseudomonadota; Gammaproteobacteria; Enterobacterales; Enterobacteriaceae
Description: bacterial LSU rRNA
Rfam family: Bacterial large subunit ribosomal RNA
Source: RNAcentral